GACGAACGCUGGCGGCGUGCCUAAUACAUGCAAGUCGAGCGAACGAAAGGGAGCUUGCUCCCUAUUCGUUAGCGGCGGACGGGUGAGUAACACGUGGGCAACCUACCUGUAAGACUGGGAUAACUCGCGGAAACGUGAGCUAAUACCGGAUAACAUCUUCCUCCGCAUGGAGGAAGAUUGAAAGACGGCUCUGCUGUCACUUACAGAUGGGCCCGCGGCGCAUUAGCUAGUUGGUGAGGUAACGGCUCACCAAGGCGACGAUGCGUAGCCGACCUGAGAGGGUGAUCGGCCACACUGGGACUGAGACACGGCCCAGACUCCUACGGGAGGCAGCAGUAGGGAAUCUUCCGCAAUGGACGAAAGUCUGACGGAGCAACGCCGCGUGAGCGAAGAAGGUCUUCGGAUCGUAAAGCUCUGUUGUUAGGGAAGAAUAAGUACGAGAGUAACUGCUCGUA
Molecule: ribosomal RNA, 455 nt
Filed under: uncultured bacterium
Lineage: Bacteria
Description: bacterial SSU rRNA
Rfam family: Bacterial small subunit ribosomal RNA
Source: RNAcentral